This 503-nucleotide ribosomal RNA is filed under the name uncultured bacterium. RNAcentral describes it as "partial 16S ribosomal RNA". It matches the Rfam family "Bacterial small subunit ribosomal RNA", at positions 355 to 849 of the family's 1533-position model. The record is from RNAcentral.
UAGGGAAUCUUCCACAAUGGACGCAAGUCUGAUGGAGCAACGCCGCGUGAGUGAAGAAGGUCUUCGGAUCGUAAAGCUCUGUUGUUGGUGAAGAAGGAUAGAGGCAGUAACUGGUCUUUAUUUGACGGUAAUCAACCAGAAAGUCACGGCUAACUACGUGCCAGCAGCCGCGGUAAUACGUAGGUGGCAAGCGUUGUCCGGAUUUAUUGGGCGUAAAGCGAGCGCAGGCGGAAUGAUAAGUCUGAUGUGAAAGCCCACGGCUCAACCGUGGAACUGCAUCGGAAACUGUCAUUCUUGAGUGCAGAAGAGGAGAGUGGAACUCCAUGUGUAGCGGUGGAAUGCGUAGAUAUAUGGAAGAACACCAGUGGCGAAGGCGGCUCUCUGGUCUGCAACUGACGCUGAGGCUCGAAAGCAUGGGUAGCGAACAGGAUUAGAUACCCUGGUAGUCCAUGCCGUAAACGAUGAGCGCUAGGUGUUGGGGACUUUCCGGUCCUCAGUGCCGC